RNAcentral lists this transfer RNA (73 nucleotides) under Stegodyphus mimosarum. It matches the Rfam family "tRNA". Rfam says of the family: Transfer RNA (tRNA) molecules are approximately 80 nucleotides in length. Lineage: Eukaryota; Metazoa; Arthropoda; Arachnida; Araneae; Eresidae. The record is from Rfam by way of RNAcentral.
GCCGUCGCGGUGUAGUGAUCAGCACGCUCGGCUCGUAUUCGAGAGGCCUCUGGUUCGAGUCCUGACGACGGCA